RNAcentral lists this ribosomal RNA (302 nucleotides) under uncultured bacterium. RNAcentral describes it as "partial 16S ribosomal RNA". It matches the Rfam family "Bacterial small subunit ribosomal RNA", at positions 508 to 807 of the family's 1533-position model. The record is from RNAcentral.
GCAGUAGCCGCGGUAAUACGAAGGGUGCAAGCGUUAAUCGGAAUUACUGGGCGUAAAGCGUGCGUAGGCGGUUUGUUAAGUCUGCUGUGAAAUCCCCGGGCUCAACCUGGGAAUGGCAGUGGAUACUGGCAAGCUAGAGUGUGUCAGAGGAUGGUGGAAUUCCCGGUGUAGCGGUGAAAUGCGUAGAGAUCGGGAGGAACAUCAGUGGCGAAGGCGGCCAUCUGGGACAACACUGACGCUGAGGCACGAAAGCGUGGGGAGCAAACAGGAUUAGAUACCCCGGUAGUCCCUGUCUCUUAUAC